UGUUUACCAAAAAAAAAGGGUUAAAUGAAAAUGACUCGCGCGGAUGUCGCAUCCACUGCAUACGUAUCUCAUUUGAAUAUGAGAAUCAAAGUCUUCGUAGCUCGGCUGACCUAUGGGUUGGGGGGAUGUGUGCUCGCUAAGACAUCGCGUCUUAUGCCUACGUAUCUCAUCUGGCCUGGGAAUCAGAGCAAAACGUAGUUCGGCUAACUACGGGGUUAUGGAUUGGGUUUUGGGCGAACGACGUCGCUACGCAAUCUACCGGAUGC
Molecule: long non-coding RNA, 266 nt
Filed under: Lathyrus oleraceus (garden pea)
Lineage: Eukaryota; Viridiplantae; Streptophyta; Magnoliopsida; Fabales; Fabaceae
Description: Pisum sativum (pea) long non-coding RNA (PSAT_LNC040093)
Source: RNAcentral